AGAGUUUGAUCCUGGCUCAGGACGAACGCUGGCGGCGUGCCUAACAAAUGCAAGUCGAGCGGAGAUUGCAGCAAUGCAAUCUUAGCGGCGGACGGGUGAGUAACGCGUGGGCAACCUGCCUUGUACAGGGGGAUAACACCGGGAAACUGGUGCUAAUACCGCAUAACAUCACUAUAGGACAUCCUAUGGUGAUCAAAGGAGCAAUCCGGUAUAAGAUGGGCCCGCGUCCGAUUAGCUAGUUGGUGAGGUAACGGCCCACCAAGGCGACGAUCGGUAGCCGAACUGAGAGGUUGAUCGGCCACAUUGGGACUGAGACACGGCCCAGACUCCUACGGGAGGCAGCAGUGGGGAAUAUUGCACAAUGGAGGAAACUCUGAUGCAGCAACGCCGCGUGAAGGAUGAAGGUUUUCGGAUUGUAAACUUCUUUGAUCGGGGACGAAGAAUGACGGUACCCGAGGAACAAGCCACGGCUAACUACGUGCCAGCAGCCGCGGUAAUACGUAGGUGGCAAGCGUUGUCCGGAAUUACUGGGUGUAAAGGGCGUGUAGGCGGGGAUGCAAGUCAGAUGUGAAAUUCCAUGGCUCAACUGUGGGACUGCAUCUGAAACUGUGUUUCUUGAGUGCUGGAGAGGAAAGCGGAAUUCCUAGUGUAGCGGUG
This 657-nucleotide ribosomal RNA is filed under the name uncultured Oscillospiraceae bacterium. RNAcentral describes it as "bacterial SSU rRNA". It matches the Rfam family "Bacterial small subunit ribosomal RNA", at positions 8 to 683 of the family's 1533-position model. Lineage: Bacteria; Bacillati; Bacillota; Clostridia; Eubacteriales; Oscillospiraceae. The record is from RNAcentral.